Xyrichtys novacula (pearly razorfish) is the source of this 1928-nucleotide non-coding RNA. The record is from the annotation of a GenBank genome assembly. NCBI's taxonomy places the organism in Eukaryota, Metazoa, Chordata, Actinopteri, Labriformes, Labridae.
GGGACAUUUCAGCUACAGCUAACAGUCAGGUGAUCUUUUGGAGCUGUUAAGUUUUCAAUUAGCCCAAUGAAUAAUGUUAGUUUUCUUUAAAGGCCAGUUGUUUUUAAUGUACUAUCUGUCAGAUAACACUAAUAUAUUGUUUCUUGUCUCAAACAAACAGAAAAUACAUCCACACCAGUGCAUUUGUUGGUAAGUAUGAAUGUUUUAACCGAGACUGACAACAAACAAAAUAAAAAAAAUAAUGAUUAGCUUUAUCCUGUUAAACAACAUGUCAUUCAAGAUAAUGUACAAAAAUAUGAUGCAUUUUUUCAAAAACUGAGUUUAAAUUGAUAUGAAACAUUGAGCUAUCUGUGGCAUUUCCUGUAUGAGAAAUAUAGGCGGGAUACUGUUUUUUCCUUGUAGACAUCAGUAUGCUAACAAAAUUACUACACUACUUAAUAAUUUUAUUGAAACAUUUUAACUUGCUGGGAAAGUCUAAUUCUUGAUUUUGGCAAUAAAUAAGUGGGAAAUUAAUUCAGGAAAAUUACUUUGAAUGAAGUGAGCUGUGAGGGAGGCUUUUUUGAAUGUAUUAAAAAUCCCUUUUCUUCCCUCUCCCCCUCCUCCUGCCUCAUCUUGUCCUCUGACCUGUGCGAACCCCCCAACCAACUCUGAAGUGUAAGUUCACACUUGUAUAUACUUAUAAAGCAAUCACUUAGAUGUUACAUUUUUGCUCUGCAGUUUAUAAUGACAUUUCACUGUUUUGUAUUUCACCUCAAUAACACACAUAAGAAAGUAAAAAGUAAAGAGGUCCUUCAUUGUGUUUGUGCAUUUUCUCUCCAUUUUAACAAACAUUUUUUACAGGCCAAGGGAGCUGCAGUAAUAUCCUUUUACUAAUCAAGUGCCACAAAUUGUAGACUACGAUAAGAAAUGAGGGAAGCUCAUGAUCCACACUGAAAAGCGGUUGUGAUUACAGUUAACUAUAAGAUGCUGAUUUUUUUUUGCAACUAAAUUUAACUGUUUUGUCCCUCUGUCUUUUCCCUCCUUCGGAACUCCUCAACGCUACCUCUACUGCUGGCCCUGUUCAAUGUUGGCAACUCAGCUGUAAGUUCACAAAUAAAGUAACUUAAAAAUAUGAACAGUCUUAAUUUUUACAUCACAUUAUGUAAAACCUGACAUUAUUUCCUUAUUUGACAACCUGCAGCACAUUUUCAUUGUAACAUAAACCAUUUAAAAAACACUUUAUUUAAACUAAUGCAGAACCAAAUGGAAAUAAUUUUGCUGGCUGAUUAAAGUUCGAACUACAAUGCAGUGAGAUGUGCUGGUUUUGUACAACUAAACUUAAAAUCUCUUGUCUCUGUUUUUCCAUUUUCCUUCUUGCUAACUCUAUCCUGUCUCCAAGUGCAGACUGCUUUGUGGCGACUCGGCGUAAGUUCACACAGGAAUGACAUUUUCAUGAGUAACACAGUUUAUUUAUUAUUUAUUAACAUUUAUUGUUACAUUUAUUCAACACAUGAUAGACCCCUCAUCAUGUACUCACUUAACAUUUUUUUUUCCUUUGAUUAUGUAAUACUUACAGUUGGAAACAAACACCUUUGAAUUAUUGGAAGCAAUUUGUUACUAUAAAAUUGUGGGGUUGUAAUUUUUUAAUGAUGAAAAUUUGAAUAAUUACUAAUUGAAUGUGAUUCCUUCCUUUGUGCAUGUUUUAUAUUAAAAAAAAAAUCUCAUUUAAUUUUCCUUCAUAUGGAAUUAGACAAUUAUUAUCUAAACCACCAUUGAAUUAUUUUAUUAGUCAUUUAAUUAUACAUUUGCAAACGUGUAUAGGGGAGAGUGGGGUAAGUUGAGCCAAAGGGUAAGUUGAGCCACCCCUUGUUGCUUGGAAAUGGUCAAAGAAAUUGAUCAUAUGACCAAAUAUUUAGGAGAUGGGCAUCAAUUCAUGGAGUCUGUGAAGG